RNAcentral lists this long non-coding RNA (394 nucleotides) under Monodelphis domestica (gray short-tailed opossum). RNAcentral describes it as "lncRNA (ENSMODG00000047296.1)". Lineage: Eukaryota; Metazoa; Chordata; Mammalia; Didelphimorphia; Didelphidae. The record is from RNAcentral.
GACAUGCUCUGCCUUGGAUCCUCACCACAAUCCUGUAACACAGCCGUUAUUAUUAUCCUUGUUUUUCAGAUGAGGAAACUGAGUCGGAGAAAGGCUAAGACGUUUGUCUGGGGUCUCACAAUGAGAAAAUCGAGAUUCUGAGAGGUUAGAGGAAUGGCCCAAAGUCACACAGCUGGCAAGUGUCUGAGGAUAAAGCAAACCCCAAUUUUACCACAAUGGAGUUUUGUCCUUGAGUACUACUACAUGAAUGGAGGCGGGAUGAUGGAUCAAAGUGAGCCCAACAGAGGAAAGCCUCUCUCCAAUUCAUUUCCCUGAGCACCCCAAAUAUUAAGAGCAGUGCCUGGACCAGGCAUCCAGGAUAAGGAAUAAACCAAGAGUAGAUUUUCCUUCUACA